CCAAGGUAGCAUAAUAAAUAGUCUCUUAAUUGGUGACUUGUAUGAAUGAUUGGAUGAAAUAUAAACUGUCUCUUUAUUAAUAAAAUAACUUAAUUUUUUAAUUAAAAAGUUAAAAUGAUUUUAAAAGACGAGAAGACCCCAUAGAGUUUUAUAGAUAAUAAUUAAUUAAAGUUUUAUAUAAAUUUAUGAAUUAAAAUUAUUUUUUCUAUUAUGUUGGGGUGAUAAAAAAAUUAAAUUAACUUUUUUUAAAAAGUUAACAUAAAUAAAUGAAAGUAAUGAUCCAAAAUUUUUGAUUAAAAGAUUAAAUUACCUUGGGGAUAACAGCGUAAUUUUUUUUUUUAGUUCAAAUAAGAAAAAGAGUUUGCGACCUUGAUGUUGGAUUAAGAUAAAAUUU
Molecule: ribosomal RNA, 394 nt
Filed under: Chilo suppressalis (striped riceborer)
Lineage: Eukaryota; Metazoa; Arthropoda; Insecta; Lepidoptera; Crambidae
Description: partial 16S ribosomal RNA
Source: RNAcentral